GUUGUUGCCGAAUCAGUGACGACGUGUUCCUCAGUGCUUGUUCCUCGAUCGGUGCCGCAGCUUCCAUUACUUUUGGUGUAAAGGCUGAUGGAGCUGUGUACGGGCGAUUGCGCAUGUACUUGGCUAUUCAUUUUUUAAAGUGGGAUCCGUAUUUUAAUUUUUUUUUUGCGGUUGAAGAUUCCUUUUCCAAGAUUUGAGGGCCCCCAUGCUAACCGGAUAUAUUGAAGAGACCUGCCCUACUGGCCACUGCACCUCGAGAUACUGUAUUAUUUCAAAAAUAAAGUAUUGGGACCCACCAAUCUCUAUGGGAUUGAAAAAAAUAUAGCAAUGGUAGUCUAGAUUUGUCUGGUCUCUCUCAGUUGCUCUCUCUACCCUGCACGAGCAACUCAGGCGGUGAAAAACCCUCGUUAUCAACCACCUGUCCACCUCCCCUUCCCUACUGGCUACUCUCGCCUCUGCCUGAGUGUGGUGCCAGGAGCGCGUGUGGCUCCCUAGGACGAUGGAGGCGAGCACUCACCCAUGUUGAUUGCAUUGCCGCAAGCCCCUAAGUGCAGGGCGGAUCUCGGUGGCUACGAUGAUGCUUGGCAGCGGAGGCGACGAUGUGGUUUGGCUCGACGGGAGCAGCACACAGAGGUGUGGAGGGAGCUACAUGUAGAGGCUUGGCAGAGGUGGAGGUGCCCAUAUUCCAGACGCUUCCUGGCAACAUAUAAGGACAACUUUCUAGCAACAUGGAAUGACUGGGAGAUCCGCAUGCUUGUGCUCAGCAGUCCCGCCCUCCACCAGGUGUCUCUCCUCUUCUCCGCCGUGCUGAUCCUGCUUCUAUAGCUGGCCUACCUGCUCGCGUACUCCAUCUGCUUCGAGCGCACCCACCGCAUCCAGACCUUCUGGGCACCAUUCCUCCUCCACCUCGGCGGCCAGGACACCAUCACCGCCUGCCUUCUCCACCGAAGACAACGACGUGCUCUGGAAGCGCCACCUGCUCAGCCUCCUCACCUAGAUGGCCUGAUGCUCCACAGCAGUAUCCUGGAAACACCCUCCUAUGAUGAGUGGAAGAAUAAUUUCCCAGACCAAGAAACAGAGGAAGAUCAACCCAUCAUAGGCCACUCUAUCAUCCAUGGUGUGCACAAGGAUAUCCGUGUAUCAGCAUGCCGCUAUGCUCACCACCACACAGUAAGCCAUUAGUCAUGAAGAUGGCCUGAUGCUCCACAGCAGUAUCCUGGAAACACCCUUCUAUGAUGAGUGGAAGAAUAAUUUCCCAGACCAGGAAACAGAGGAAGAUCAACCCAUCAUAGGCCAUCUAUCAUCCAUGGUGUGCACAAGGAUAUCCGUGUAUCAGCACGCCGCUAUGCUCACCACCACACACGAAGCCAUUAGUCAUGAAGGUCCUCACCGUUCCUCCGCACCGCCGGCCAGGUGCAUCACAACCCACCUAUUUAGUAACUACUAAUGAUGUGGACUCCACUAGCGUUUGGGUCCAGCCUCUGGAUGACAAAAAAUAAAGGUUAGAUUUUUAGAUAUAUGGGAACUAGCUGGCUUGCCCACGCUGCAACGACAUGUUUUGCGCUUUCUCCAAUGGCUAUAGGUACGUUUGGAUUUUUGUGGUCCACAAAUAGCAGCAAUUCUAUGCUUUCUUGCUUGAUACAGUGUGGCGGAUGACGACUUGCUUCUACUUGUACGGCUGGCCCAUCGGAUCCUCAGCGCUUUCUGUUCAUUUUGGUCGGGAACAAGAUUGAUUUAGAUGGCGGGAGCAAACGGAUGGUUCCGGAGAAGAAAGCGAGGGAAUGGUGCGCCUCCAAGGGUGAUAUUCCAUACUUCGAGACCUCUGCGAAGGAGGUCCACAACGUCGACACUGCUUUCCUAUGCAUCGCUAGGCUCGCCUUGGAGCAUGAGCAUGACCAAGACAUGUUGCCAAAUCCUGGCGACUCCCAGAUUGAUUUGCGGUUCUAAUAUAGAUAUGGAUCUACUAGGAGAAGCUUUAAUACGCUCGAUACCUGGCAUGAUGAGUUCCUCAAUCAAGUAAGCCACAUCUCCCACGAGCAUGUAUCUUUCUGGAUGUCUGGUUACAAUAGCAGCUACUCAUGUGGUUGAGAAUAAAAUACAAAAGAUAAAGAUAAAUAUUCAGAUGAUCGUCAGUAUAGUCUCAUCCACGACAAGUUCAUUAUGAUUUACAUAGACUUCAUUUUUACAUCCAAAAU
This is a long non-coding RNA of Zea mays, 2195 nucleotides long. RefSeq lists it as uncharacterized. Lineage: Eukaryota; Viridiplantae; Streptophyta; Magnoliopsida; Poales; Poaceae. The record is from RefSeq and is a predicted model, not a curated record. The transcript has 12 exons.